This 1276-nucleotide long non-coding RNA is filed under the name Equus caballus (horse). RNAcentral's name for it is "lncRNA (ENSECAG00000041967.2)". Lineage: Eukaryota; Metazoa; Chordata; Mammalia; Perissodactyla; Equidae. The record is from RNAcentral.
GGGGAGGCUGACAUGUACUUUUCCCAACUUGCCCUCUCUUCUAUUUCCAGGAGGACAACUGCGUGUGUGUUGGGGGAAAAGGCAGCUGAAGGUGCAGGGAUGGUGGGGAGUAACCAGGCUUGAAUGAUAUCUGAAAACAAAAUAAGUCUUAUACGGCAAGUGGACAUGUAAAUUGCUAUAACCUUUCUGGAGGGCAAUUUUGAAAUAUGUCUCAAAAGCUUUACUAUUCCACAUACUCUUUGAUAUUCCAAUUUAUAUGAAUUUACAUUAAGGAAAUAAUAAUGGAUAGUGUUCACUGAGGCAUGAACAUCUUUGUAGUAAGAACCAGAAAUCAACCUAAAUGUCUAACAAUAACUAAAUUAGCAUACAUGUCCUGCUACAGACUGAGUUGUGUCCCCCCAAAACUCAGAGGUUGAAUCCCUAACCCCCAAUGUGCCUGUGUUUGGAGGCAGGGCCUAUAAGGAGGUAAUUAAGGUUAAGGGGGGUCAUUAGGGUGGGGCCCUAAUCCAGUAGGACUGGUGUCCUUCUAAGAAGAAGAAGAGAUACCCGGAGUGUGCACGCACAGAGAGAAGGCCAUGUGAGGACACAGCAAGCAGGCAGCUGUCUGCAAGCCAAGGAGCGAGGCCCGGCCAGAAACCAACCCUGCCAGCACCUUGAUCUUGGACUUCCACCUUCAGAACGUUUAGGACUUAUGGUUUGGCUAAAUCCCUUUACUAAAAUCACAAAUGCUGCGUGAAUUGAUGGACAAGGAGACAAGAAAGAAUCCUGUAGCCCAUGCUCAUACUCCCAGACACAGCAAGUAGAGGGACAUUUUUAUGUGACCCAGCUAUUUGCUCUCUGUCAGCGACUUCACAGGUGGCCUUGGCCCCUAAAAGCCAGUCAUCAAAAGAUCAUGAUCAAAGAGAACCCUUCACACAGUGUGGACCACCUGCCUAGAAAACGCCUCUGUCAGCAUCCUCCCCCUUCCAUUUCCAAUGUCCAGAGUUUCACAUAAUUUCUGUUCUUCUCUCUGAUGCAAGCUCCAGGCAGCCGUCUGUGUUAUUAGAUUUAAGUAUCCAGGUCAACAGCAUCCAUCGCCAGCCCACCGCUCAGCUGGGAGGGCUGUAGCCGAGGCUUCUCGACGCUCGCUGUUUUCAUUUCAGCUUGUGUCUUCCUCCUUCACACAGCAGAGGCGUUCAGCAUCCGGAGGGAGAGGCAGCUGAGAGCAUGAAGCAGGGUUAUCAUGAAACCAAAGCCUAAAUGUGCGCGCUCACCAGGCCUGGCACGGACUCAUCCC